Molecule: long non-coding RNA, 425 nt
Filed under: Pogona vitticeps (central bearded dragon)
Lineage: Eukaryota; Metazoa; Chordata; Lepidosauria; Squamata; Agamidae
Description: lncRNA (ENSPVIG00000017490.1)
Source: RNAcentral
CCGCCGAGAGGGCGCCUUUCUCCCACUCCCAAAGGCUUCCGGUGUUUCCUGGGCUGGACCAGUUGGCCCUCAAGGCUCAGCUCAGGAAGCGGCACGAACCGGAAGCCGCAGGAGAAGGCCCCUCCGCGCAGCCCUCCCGGUCGCCCAAGUCUCCGCUUCAGGCGGGUCCCUCCGGAGGCAGGACGUUGCCCAAGGGCCCCGAGAGAGAGGAGAGGGCGGAGGGCCCCCCGUCGCCACAGUGGCUGAAGGAGCUGAGGUCCAGGAAGCGGCAGAGCCAGUACGAGGACCAGGUGUGACACACACACACACCCCACGGCCUGAAGAAGGGUGGAUCAUGGCCGACUUCUUCCGGAGACUUCCCCACGAUUGAUUUAUAAACUCCUUGUUCUGUGGGGAGGUGUUGUCGUAACCGUGCUUUCGGUCCC